AUCUAAGGGCGUACGGUGGAUGCCUAGACUGAAAGAAGCGAUGAAGGACGUGGCGUGUCUGCGAUAAGCUUCGGGGAGGUGACUAGCAACCUUUAAUCCGGAGAUUUCCGAAUGGGGAAACCCAGCCAGCUUCGCUGGUUGUCCUGAGAUUUAUUCGAAGGACGCGUACCCGCUGAAGUGAAACAUCUCAGUAAGCGGAGGAGAAGAGAACAAUGUAUAGUACUCACAUUGCAUUACAUAUAGUUUGCAAUGCGGUGUGAGUACUUGUAAUUCCCUAAGUAGCGGCGAGCGAAAAGGGAGAAGUCCAAACCAUGCACUUCGGUGUGUGGGGUUGUAAGGUAACAGUUUCGUCUUUAUGAUGAGAAGAGUCAAAAAAUAUUUUGUUAAUUGAAUUCGCUGGAAAGCGAAACCCCAGAGCGUUAAAGUCGCGUAAGUGAAAACGAAGUAUCUCUUUUAUUGUUAUUCUUGAGUAGCCCAAGACACGAAUAGCUUGGGUGAAUCUGCCGGGACUAACCGGCAAGGCUAAAUAUUCUUUCAGAUCGAUAGUGAACUAGUACCGUGAGGGAAAGGUGAAAAAUACCCCGGUGAGGGGAGUGAAAUAGAUCUGAAACCGUAUGCCUACAAGGAGUCGGAGCGGCGCUUGCGCCGUGACGGCGUGCCUAUUGAAGAAUGAGCCAACGAGUUCAUAUAUACUGCGUGGCUAACUGCGUAAAAUGCAGGAAGUCGUAGGGAAACCGAGUGUGAAUAGCGCGAAAUUUUGUAGUAUGUAUGAGACCCGAAGCCAGAUGAGCUUGCCAUGGACAGGGUGAACGCCGGCGAAAGCCAGCGGGAGGCCCGAACCGGUUGGUCGUACAAUUCCAUCGGAUGAUCUGUGGUAAGGAGUGAAAAGCUAAUCGAAUCUGGUAAUAGCUGGUUCUCUCCGAAAUAGCUUUAGGGUUAGCGUUCGGUGUACCUUUUGGGGGUAGAGCACUGGAUGGCGUAAAUAGGGAGAAAUCUCGUUAUGCCAAUCAAACUCCGAAUACCAAAAGUAACUGCCGAGCAGUUAGACUGUGGGGGCUAAGCUCCACUGGUCGAAAGGGAAACAGCCCAGAUCUCAAGUUAAGGUCCCUAAAUUUACAUUAAGUGCGCUUAAGGAUGUGAGAUUUCUCUGACAAUGAGGAUGUUGGCUUAGAAGCAGCCACCAUUUAAAGAAAGCGUAACAGCUCACUCAUUCAGAGGUUUUGCGCCGCAGAUUAUCGGGGCUAAAUGUAAUACCGAAACUGAGGGCUUCUUAUUCAUUCGUGAGUAAGGAGCGGUAGGAGAGCAUUCCAUUCUGCAAUGAAGGUUAGACGUAAGUCUAACUGAAGCGUAUGGAAGAGAGAAUGUUGGCACAAGUAACCGCAAUCCCGUUGAGAAUACGGGACGCCGAAAAACCAAGGUUUCCUUGGCGAUGUUAAUCAGCCAAGGGUUAGUCGGGCCUAAGCGGAUGGCGAAAGCCGGACGCGAUGGACACAUGGUUAAUAUUCCAUGACUUUCUUUUUAUGCGAUGGGGGGACGGAGUGUAGUAUGUCGAGCGUAUUAUUUGGAUUUACGUUUGUGGUGUGAGGAUGCUCUUUUGGAAAAUCCGGAGAGUAAAUUUUAGCACAGUAAAAAUUUUGCGGCCUCGGCCAAUGAAAAUUUGACAAAGCACACUUCCAAGAAAAGCCUCUAAGCUUCAGUAAAAAGAAAACCGUACCGCAAACCGACACAGGUGGUUAGGUCGAGAAGACCUAGGCGAACGAGUGAGUGUUCCUCAAGGAACUCGGCAAACAAGCGACCGUAACUUCGGAAUAAGGUCUGCCCCUGCUUUUUGCAGGGGCCGCAGCGAAAGUUUUCCGGGCAACUGUUUAUCAAAAACACAGCUCCCUGCGAACUCGCAAGAGGAUGUAUAGGGGGUGACGCCUGACCAAUGCCAGAAGGUUAAACAUAGAGGGUCUGCGAGACUUCGGUUUUGUAGGCUGAGCUAUGUAAGCCCUGGUGAAUGUCGGCCGUAACUAUAACGGUCCUAAGGUAGCGAAUUUCCUUGUCUGGUAAGUUCAGACGUGCACGAAUGGCGUAAUGACCUGGAAACUGUCUCGAGGAACAGCUCGGUGAAAAUGCAAUACCGGUGAAGACGCCGGUUACCUGCAGCUAGACGGAAAGACCCCGGGAGCUUUACUGUAGCUUCGUAUUGGGUUUGCGAUUUAAUUGCGUAGCAUAGGUGGGAGACUUUGAUAUUUGCCUUUUGGGGCAAGUGGAGUCGUCAGUGAAAUACCACUCUGUUGAAUUUCAGAUUCUAACCACGACGGAAAAAACGGCGUGGAACAGUGCGUGGCAGACAGUUUUAGUGGGGCGCUAUCCUCCUAAAGAGUAACGGAGGAGUUUAUUAAGGUCAGCUAGGCGCGAAUGGAAACCGUGCCGAUAGUGUAAUGGCAUAAGCUGGCUUAACUGCGAGACGUACAUGUCAAGCAGAUGCGAAAGCAGAACAUAGUGAACCGAUGGCCCGCAUUAGAUGUGGCCAGAGAUUAACGGAUAAAAGCUACCCCGGGGAUAACAGGCUGGUUCCGCCUAAGAGUUCAUAUCGACGGCGGAGUUCGGCACCUCGAUGUCGGCUCAACUUAUCCUGGUGCUGGAGAAGGUGCCAAGGGUUUGGCUGUUCGCCAAUUAAAAAGUUACGCGAGCUGGGUUCAGACCGUCGUGAGACAGGUUGGUCCCCUAUCUGCUGCAGGCGUUGAUUCUUGAGAAGAGCUCUCCCUAGUACGAGAGGACUGGGAGGGACUGAUCUCUGGUGUGCCAGCUGUUCCGCCAGGAGCAUUGCUGGGUAGCUAUAUCGGGACUGGAUAACCGCUGAAAGCAUCUAAGCGGGAAGCCAACUUCAAGAUUAGGAAUCGUAGAUCCCUAGGAGAUGACUAGGUUGAUAGGCCUUAGGUGUAAGUACAGUAAUGUAUUUAGCCGAGAGGUACUAAUUCAUCGU
RNAcentral lists this ribosomal RNA (2971 nucleotides) under marine eukaryotic metagenome. Its description in RNAcentral is "Bacterial large subunit ribosomal RNA". It matches the Rfam family "Bacterial large subunit ribosomal RNA". The record is from RNAcentral.